RNAcentral lists this ribosomal RNA (379 nucleotides) under Deiphobella laticeps. RNAcentral describes it as "partial 12S ribosomal RNA". Lineage: Eukaryota; Metazoa; Arthropoda; Insecta; Mantodea; Mantidae. The record is from RNAcentral.
AUUAGAUACCCUAUUAUUUUUAUUGUAAAAGAUUAAGGCCUGAGUAUUAAUUGAUAUAACUUGAAACUUAAAGAAUUUGGCGGUAUUAUAAUCUAUUUAGAGGAAUCUGUUAUGUAAUCGAUAAUCCGCGUUGAACCUUACUUAUAUUAAUUUCUUGUAUACCGCUGUUUAUGAAUAUACUUUUAGGUUAUUUUCUUAAUUUAAUAAUAAAUAGAAUUUCAAGUCAAGGUGCAGUAAUAUAUAAGUUGAGUAAUGGAUUACAAUAGAUUUUAUUUAUUUACGGAUAAUAUUUUAAAUAUAAUUUGAAGGUGGAUUUAAAUGUAAUUUUAUAAAGAUUAUUAAGAUGAUAAAUAGUUCUAUAAUAUGUACACAUCGCCCG